GGGGAUGUAGCUCAGUGGUAGAGCGCAUGCUUUGCAUGUAUGAGGCCCCGGGUUCAGACCCCGGCAUCUUCA
This 72-nucleotide transfer RNA is filed under the name Gadus morhua (Atlantic cod). RNAcentral describes it as "tRNA-Ala (TGC) (tRNA-Ala-TGC-14-1)". It matches the Rfam family "tRNA". Rfam says of the family: Transfer RNA (tRNA) molecules are approximately 80 nucleotides in length. Their secondary structure includes four short double-helical elements and three loops (D, anti-codon, and T loops). The record is from Rfam by way of RNAcentral. Lineage: Eukaryota; Metazoa; Chordata; Actinopteri; Gadiformes; Gadidae.